GUAUUUUAUAAAUAUGCCAAAAAGAUAUGUAUUAUUGUACAUUGGUUUUUGUAAUCCCCAUAAUUAAUUCAAAAGAUAUUUAUUACUGAAGUUUUAUUUACUAGUGCAGUUAACAUUACUAUUCAUUUCAUGAAAAUUAAUUCAAUGUAGAUUAAUGUCAUUGAAGUAAGGACAUUACAAUGUAUUCAGUGUGCAUACUAAUGUCAUUGUAGUUACAACAUUACAAUGUAUACUUUUGAAAUAACAAGCAUACUAAUGUCAUUGUAGUAACAACAUUACAAUGUAUACUUUUGAAAUAACAAACAUACUAAUGUCAUUGUAGUAACAAUGUAAAUAAACUCAUCAUAGAUACCAGGACAAAAGUCACCAAACUACACAUUUUAAUGUAAACAAGAAUUUUUGAUGAAAGAUCAUUUGUCUCUUGUGUCAAAGAUCAAGGAUAAUUUUUGAAAAAAUGUGAAGUGUCAAUUUCAGGAUUAUUUUCAUGUUAUAUAUUUUGAAAAGAAAACUAAAGAUUUAACAUCAACAUCCAAGGCAUUCCAGUGACAGAUAAGGAUAGAGUAAUAAAUCAAAUAUCACAUUCCACACAAUUCAUAGUCAUGUCAAUCAGUUGUACAAUCUUUUCUAGUUUCAUGUUAAUUUAAAUGGAAGAUCCAGAAAUUUUUAUAAGUGGAUGCCCACUGACUGCCUAAGAUGGGACAUGCUUUGGUGAUUCCCUGUAUAACCAACCAUUUUCCCCCCAGACCCCUGCCCCCUUAAUCCGCCUCUGCUCAUCAUAACACCAUGAAAUUAAAAUUAAAAAAGGGGAGUAACUUAGAUUCACUAAGCUAAACAUUGUUAUUUCAUUGACACUUUCUAUGUACAUUUCAAUAACACAUAUCACAACAGGUUUUUAUGGAACGAACUACAUUGUACAUUUCUACAUUUGUUUAAAGGAGUUGGUGUAUUAGAAUUGGCCUAUGACAUGGUGCAUUCAGAAUCAUCUGAAUUUUGCACUGUUACAUUUGGAAUUUUUAAAAGUGCAAAGGUAUAACCUUUAGAACUUUUAUAGAAUAUAGCUUAUCAUUUAAAUUUUAGAAUAAAAAGCAAUAACAACUUGAAAUUUUCCUUAAAACACCAAAUGUCGUAUAAUUUGUUUUGGCACAAAUAUAUUAUUGAGAAACAUUAAACACAUACAUAAAGCACACUAAACCGAACAGAAUGAAUAAUUUCUUUAUUUUGUUGAGAAACUACUGAAAAGGUUUACAGUUAUUUAAUCCUUUAAUACAAGUCUAGAAUUAACCCAAUUAAAAGUACAAAGGAGUAGGUUCAGUAAGACCCCUUUUUGGCCCAAAAAUAUAGCAGUUUUACAAAAUUGUGAAAAUGUAAUCUUUUAGCUAUUUACUGGAAAGUAGAAUGCUUCUGCUAUAUAAAUAUAGGCUGAUUUGACAAUACAAUGCACAUAUAUUGGGUACUAGCAUCAUUAAGUCAUGCUAAAUUACUGAAAUCUUCACAAUUUUAGCAUUUUAAUUAAAUUUUAGACGGUUUCCGUCUUAAAUGAAAGUGGCCGCAUUUGUGUUCAUUCAUAAUAUUGAAAUGUAAGUUGUAUUUGAUGAUAAUACAUAACAUAUAUAAAGGUUGAGGAUGAACACGGAUGCGGCCACUUUCAUUUUUGACAAAAACCAUCUAAAAAGUGACGUUUUUUGUCAUAUUUGAUAGAUUUUUCAUAUUUAAGCUUGAAUCGGAGCGUUUUUAAAUACUAAGACAGUUAAAAUCAUUCACAUAAAGUAAUUGAAUCAAUUGAAAUAGACACUUAAGUGUUUAAAAAGUGUCCAAAAUCUUUCGUUAGAUGAACCUGAAAUUUGACGAUAAAAUCGGCCCUUAUCGGAACUACUCCUUUCAGUGAAAACAAUUUGCCAAAAUAUGUUUGAUCCCGAUAAAACACAUAAGAAUGUCAAUUCUAAUCAAACCAAUUUUACACAUGCAUAAUGUACAAAAUUUAUCUUAAGUUCAUAGAAAAUUAAAUCUUUGUAUUUAGAUUAUUAUUUUUUGUUGUUGAAUGGACACAAAUGUUAAUAGCAUUCAAGUUUUUUUGUGUUAAAAAUAAGGUUGCUUUAAAACACUGUAGCGGGACUUCAAUUAGCUAAACAGUCUGUUCUGUUCAUUUGCCCUUAUCUUGAGAGAUUAAAUUUUUGUACAAUAAUCUGAAUGUACAUACAUCUAAUGUUUAUUUAUAGAUUAUCGUUGAUCAUCUCAAUGAGAUUGAUUUUCUUGCUUGAGCCGGGACGGUGAAAGCGAAAAAAAGCAAUUGAGUUGAGAUGACCAAUGAUAAUCUGUUUAUCGCAAUUUUUACCUAUGAUGACGUUGUCAAUUUCAUGUCAAUUUCAUUAGCAACUCCACAUGCUUCCUUAGUUUCUAGUGAUAAUUUUCCAUCUCAUUCGAGUAGCAUGAUAUGACAAAUUAUCACAAAAAAAAAGAUCAAAGGAAAAAUGCACAAAAUAGCGAUAAAAACUGUUCUUACAAGUUUUCACUGUAUAUAUUCAUGUAUAUUUCUUUGUUCCUUUAACAUAUAUGUACAUGUAUCUUACUGUUUUGUAAAUUUCAUAUUUUACUGUUUCUUGUGGUUACAUAUCAAUGCAUAUAAAGAGUUUGUUAAUAAUGUCUUUACCAAAAAUAAGAAGCUUUAUUUGACAAAGGCAGAAUUCUUUUCUUCUUUAAAUUUUUUUAUUUUAUAAAAUAUUUUUCUUUUAUGAAGCUUUACAAUCAAACAAAAUGUGUAUGUGAUAAAACUGUAAAAUAAAUGUUUUUUUACACAGUCUACCAAGUUUUCUAUUUUCAUGAUACUAUGCGUGAAAAUAAUUCUAUUUAUAGACUGCCCUGAGAGUUGUAACACAUGCUAUUGUAUAAAGCCAAAAAAAAUAUAAACGCAAAUACGCUGUGAUUAACAAGGAUGUAAAAUAAGAGUUGACCAAAAAUUCAUAUGUGAUAAUUUUAUAUAAAAAAAGUGCAAAAUAUAUUAUAAUACAUAGGUAAAAAAAUGUGUCAAAGCUAUACCUAUACUAUAACUUACUUUUUCCCAUGUUUAUCAAAAAGGUCUAUAUGAAAGAUAGAUAAAAAUAAUUUUUCAUAACUGAAAUUUACAACUCCUGAUAGGAUGUAAAUAUACUGCUUAGAUAUAAAAACAAGCACUUAAUUAUCAAUGAAAAUAUUAAUUAACACUUUAUAGCACAUUUUCAUACAUAUAGAGUUUUAUUAGACUUUGAUUUGUCCAAUUUUUCUAUUAUGAAUAAACGCAAUGCACAAAUUGGUAUCAACAUUUGCUUCAGAGCCAUUUAUAUUAUUUUACUAAAAUAUACCUUGAUAAUGUUCCAUGCAGGAAUGUUUAUGGGUCAAUGGUCAAAGUUAUAGCAUCUAUAAUUAGCUUAUAUUUUAGAAAUACUGUUCCUUGAAUUUUAUUGAGUCUUUUCAGAAUUUAUUGGAUUUAUCACAUUGCAAGUAAUAUAUCUUCAAACACAACUUCUGGUCAAUACUUGACUGUAGUGAGUGAGAUAUAUUUGGGAGUUUUACAAUUUACUUUAAAUUGAUUGUUGAUACAAAGAAGCAAAACAGGAUUACAAUUUUCUCAUGCUCAAAAUAUUAAAUGAUCUCAGAUUCUAUUAUUAGAUCUCAAAACUUUUUUUUUCUAUUGUUCCAUGACAAUAUAAUAAUAUUUUCAGGCAUUUUAAGCCUGUAUUAUUUAUGUUCGACAUCAGACAUCUAAAAAAAAUCACAAGUAAUUAGAAAAACUUCAUACCAAAUUUCUUGACACUUGUGUUUUACAGAAUGAUUUUAAAACUAACAAUGGAACAGAAUUAGAAAUGUUUAUCCAUUUUCAGUCUGGUAAAAUGUUGAUAGGUAAAAUUUAAACACACAAGUUCAUUUUGUAUCACCAAAAUGUUUUAUUUAAAAAUUAGAAUUUCUCAGUAAACUUUAACCUAAAGGAUUAAAACUAAAAUUGUGGAUUCAUUUAUUUUUGUGGAUAUAAAUUUUUGUUGGUUUAGUAAAAAUUGGAUUUCAUGGUUUUGCUUGUACACAAGUCUAUAGUAAAUAUAUGCUGUGUUGAAAAUUUAGAAUUCAAGGUUGACUGUUACCCACGAAAUCAACAACAAUUGGCAUACCAGAAAUAAUAAUGAAUCCAUAGUUAUCAAUCUUGUUUUUGGUUGUAAUGAAUUAAUUUCUUCUCAUUGGAUGCACUGGAUUGCACAUGUUUGACAGUUUUUUAUUGUAUUGGAUAUAAACAUAAAUUGUUAAGAUUGAUAUAAAGUUUCUAUUGUCCAUGACAGAUAUGCCAUCCCACUGGCAAUCCAGAAUGAUAGUAGGAACUAGUUCAAUUGGCCGUUUCAGAAUCUAAUGCAUUCUGGGUAAUAUUUUCACAACUGUACACCAAAACUUUGUGAUUGGUGAAAAACGAUCCAAACAAUUGAAAUUCAACCAAUGACGUAAAGUUAUUUUCAUUUUGGUGUACGAACAAUGAGAUACCCAUAGUCCUUCAGAUUCUGAAAAGGUGAAUUAUUGGUAUAUAUGGUUAAAACUGCACAUUGUGAUCAGAUCAUUUAAAUUUCACUGCUAUUUUUGAAAGCAGUGAGAUUGGUCAAUUUGAGUUUGAUGUAAUAAGGGGUACCAUUCUAGCAAAUCUUGUGACAUAAUAUCAACUGAUAAUUAUAUUAUGCUAUAAGUAAGACAAAAUAUAUAAUAUAUAUUGCCUGUUAGAAUGUUUAGUUACUAUAUUUAGUUUAUUUUGUUGUUUUUGUAAACAACAAAAGGGAACACCUCUUACAUUAUAUGUAAGUGUAUGUGUAUUUUAUAUUUUCUUCACCAUUUGAGUUAUGACACCAUCAUGCAAAGGUCAUGAUAAUUGUAUGUGAAUUAACAUGUGUUAGAGUACAUGCAUUUAAAAUGUGUAAUAUUACUGUGUUUUUUGUUUAGUUUUGUAAACUGGGUUUUAGUUUAUAAUAACAUUUGUUAUAUGUGUUUUCUAUGAUAAUAGUGCAUAACUGCAGUGAAUUUGUGUAUUAGAUGGGUUAAAGAUUGCAAAUACCCUAUGUAUCCCAUAUAAAAGAGAAAAAAAAAAAUCAAUACUGUUUAGAAUAAUUUAAUAUUAAGAAAAUUGACAGUCAAACAACAACAUAGUUUUCCAGUUUUAUUUCAACACCAGAAAAGCUAGUUGAUCAGUUAUAAAACAAUAGUGAAACAAUUAUUACAUUCAUAAAAAGUAUAUGACAAUAAUAUGUUGUGCUCAUUUUCAACCUUGCUUAUUAAGAACAAGUGGAAAGAACUAUUUGUUGGAUAUAAUUUGUUUUUUGGCAAUAAUUUGUUUUUUCAUUUUAAGAUAUUAAGCUUCAGAAAGAUUAUCUAUCAGCUAUAAUACAACCUAUACAGUACCCUUACAUUCCAAUUUAUAUAAAACAUUUAUUCAAGUCUAUAAGUACAGAACGGCACAUUUCUUUGGACUUAGGCAAAGUCAAUAAGUACAGAAAGGCACAUUUCUUUUGACUUAGGCCAUUUAAAUUUAACGAUCAUUUUCUCAAUUAUUUAAAGAUACCUGUCUAAAGAGGACGAAGGGUUUGUCUUAAUACUGAAGGAUUACAGUUUAUUGUGGCCAUAAAAACAGCUUUUUUUUUAUUAUCACAAUUGGUAUACAUUUUGUGUUAAAGACUAAAUAUGUUUUAUUAAUGUUUAGCAGUCCCUUAUAAUUAUCUCUGCACCAAUAAUAAAGUUAUGGGAUAUAUUUGAUAGAUCUGUCCAACUGGAUACUAUAAAAUCAGAAAUAAUUGCCAGGCUCUUACUAAUGUGAAUUAAAUGACUUGGAGAGUUUUACAAUAAUAAGAACAUGCAUUCUGAUCAUUGAUACAUAUAUCUGUAUAACAAGGAAUUGUUUGAAUCUGGAAUAAUUUUGAAUUCUGUAAAAUUGAUAAGGAUUGUGAUAUGAAAACUAAACAAAAGAAAUAGGGUUAGCCCUACAGAUUCAAAUAUUUCCUUGUUGUUUUCAGAUUUUAUUGGUAUAACAAUUAUUAAUUUCUUAAUUUUGCAAGUUUACAAAAAUUACAAUAAUUAGAUACAUGCAUAAUUUUUUUAUUUACAGUAGAUGUAGGACAGACAAUGACAGAAUCCUAUAAUUUCAUUAUUUACUGAUGGAUUCUGGGAAAAUAAAUUAAAGCAAGACUGUAAAGCAAGGAUUGUUACUGAUUUUCAAAUAAAAAGUUAUCCUUUGAUUUGUUUUGUCACUGCCUAAGUGAGUUUUCAUCACGUAAAGAUCUACUUCAGUCCAUGCUUUAGUCCAAUAAGAUUGUUUUAUUGUAAAUAUUUCCAUUUGAGUACUACCUCUAGUUAAUCAGACUCACAAGAGUUUAUAACAAAUUCAUAUCAUUGUUACAGCCAUGUUAUAUCUGCUGGUAGAUUUUGAUUGGCUGGUUAAAAUAUUAUAAUUACAGAGAAAUAACAUAUGUAAAUUUAUGUAAAUUAUUGUUACAAAAAAUGUAUGUAAAAGUGAUAGAGAAGAAAACUGAAGGAAAAUGAAAGUAUAUUAUAUAUUGUUUGGAGAGAGUUAAUAGAAAAUAUAUUGUUCAGUUUAUAUUUAUAUUUUCUGUUUAUAGAAGCUUUAUUUAAGAAUAAGUUCUUUACUUUAAAAUUAUCAAUAUGGUUAAAUUUGAUUAUCUAAGCUUCGCCUUAAAAGGGGAGUUUAAAAAAAGCUAAAAAAAUUUUUGUGAUUCUUUUGAAAAAUUUGAAAUUGAUGACAAAUUGUGAAUAAAAUUGUUGUUUUAUACAGUUAGUUAAUAACAAGUAACAAACUCACACAGAAAUAUACCAGCUGACAAUCUAAUACCAUGAUAUUUGUUAAUCCAUGAAAAGAAAUUUCUCAUACAUGUACAUAAACAUAAUCCAAAAGAUAUUUUAGUAGAUUUAAUAUACAUGGAUCUUUGUUGACACAGGUUGAGGUAUGUUGUUAAUAUUGAAAGCCCAAUUGAUUUGGAAGCAAGACUUUUUUUGAGUUUAUUGUUCCAGGUAUUUUUUGUCUGUUUUAUAAGUAUUUAUAUAAUCUUUUGUUUAUUUUGAUUGUUUGAAUCUCUGGACGAGACAGUAUUUAACAUUGCCACUUCAAGUGCAUAGUUUACAUUAUCUAGAAUGAUUACCUCCCUUGUGAAUCUGUUUGAGUUAUCUCCACUUUAACAUAAAUUAGAUAGAAUCUGAAAUGAAUCUUGCAAUGUUUUUCAAUGAUAAAUUUCAAACUAAAUUUCUAAGCACGAAUUUCACAAUUGGAUACAAUGGACAUCUUCUUAAUCUUAAAUUAUUUUUUUUCAUCAAAUUCAACUAACUUUCCAAUAAAAUGGAGAUAAAAAAGGGAGAAAAUAAUUUUCCGUCUAUUUGUGAUAAUUUUUUAUACAAAAAAAAUAGAAAAUCAAAAGAAAAAAUUUACCUUACUUUGUAAGAUCAGAUCUGAGCCACAAAAAAAAAAAACACAAAUACAGACACUUACCAGUAUCUCGAAACAUAAAUUAACAUUCUAUUAAGGAGGCUGGUAAAGAAAAAAUAUUUUCCAAAAGACAAUUUAUGAAAUAAAAUUAUAAAAGAUAAUGUAAACUAUGGUUGUUAUAAAUAUUCUUUAUUUUUGUUAAGUGCCAUGUUGUACAGAAGUUGUUAGCACUCUUAGUUCUAUGAUUUAUAAUUUGGUUUUGUGCCAUUAUGUAUAAAAGUUAAUAGUCCUUUGAUGCCAAAGAAAUGUACUUAUUUUGAUAAAUAACUAAUUUUGUCGAGAAUAUAUUGAAGAUUGAUGACAAACUUUUGUUUUUGUUAUUUAUUUAAAGCCUAUAUUACUUAUAAGCUGUACUAGUAUAAAUAAAUUAUCAAUCAAAUUGUCAAUUCUAUAUUGACUUUUCCAAGGGCUUUGUUAACAAAGCCAUGUGGUUUAACCAACAUUACUGAGCUGAAACUCGGGCCAAAAGAAGCUCUUGGUAAAAUUGAAUUUAAAAUGUCAGAUGCCAAAUGAUUUGUACACACAUGUAUGAUUUCACUUGUUACACCAUUGUAAAAAGCCCUAGUUUGAAGAGAAUAAAGAAAGAGGCAUUUUGAGGGUAUAGCAUGGCAAAAACUAUUAACUUACUAGUUAAAAAUCCAAAUCUCCAAGCAUAAUUAUUUGUGUCCAAUGACGAAAAAUCUUCCUAUCCAAACUAAAUUUAAAUCGCUUUUUAUUGUAAAACAAUACACUAAAUAUCUUCAAGCAAAAUAAAAGAAAUGUGGACAACUGAUUAAGAUUUAGGACCAUCACUGCAAAAAAUCAUCAUACCUAACAAUAAUCAAACUUGUCAUUGUUAAACUAUUAAACAAAUAUCAUAUCAACAUCUGCAAGCAUGAUGAAAAAAGUGCUUUAAACUAAUUACUUAUGAGAAUUUUUUAAAUCCAAGGACUGUAACUGUGCAAAACAAUCAUCAUACUGGAACAAAAUUCAAACAUGAUCUGUAACUGGUCAUAAUAAAACUGUAUACCAA
RNAcentral lists this long non-coding RNA (8501 nucleotides) under Mytilus galloprovincialis (Mediterranean mussel). The record is from RNAcentral. Lineage: Eukaryota; Metazoa; Mollusca; Bivalvia; Mytilida; Mytilidae.